This 100-nucleotide ribosomal RNA is filed under the name Sobralia powellii. Its description in RNAcentral is "partial 18S ribosomal RNA". It matches the Rfam family "Eukaryotic small subunit ribosomal RNA", at positions 1732 to 1831 of the family's 1831-position model. RNAcentral also lists the same sequence under 21 other names. Lineage: Eukaryota; Viridiplantae; Streptophyta; Magnoliopsida; Asparagales; Orchidaceae. The record is from RNAcentral.
GCCGCCCGUGACUCUGCGAGAAGUCCAUUGAACCUUAUCAUUUAGAGGAAGGAGAAGUCGUAACAAGGUUUCCGUAGGUGAACCUGCGGAAGGAUCAUUG